GGGACACCCACCAGACACUGCUAUGGCAGGCCUCGGGUUCGAAGCUUCUCUAGGGUCAGAAGGGAAUUAGGGUUUGAGCGACAGCAGAUGGGUUAGGAGGGAGUUUCUGAAACUCCUAGAGAGGCGUAGGGAAAUAGGCGUAGGGUUUGGGAAAUACUCGAACCCGCGGAGGGUUUUUCCAAACUUGUUCUUUGCUAUAUGCUCUUUUCCCUGCCUUCCUCUUCCUCCCACGACUCCAGCCCCAACCCUGGAAGAUCCCUAAGGACUAGGGUACAUGCCGCCUCAACCCUUCUUCCCUGUUCUCCUUCCUCAAGUUUCCAGAGACAGAAAAUACAAAUAAACCCCGGUUGGUUACUGCGGGUGCAUCUAGGUACCCCACCCCCAAACAGACACAGACACACACGCACGCGCGCACACACCACACACACACACACACACACACACACACACACCCUCACCACCCGCUGUGACCCACCCACCACCGGGUAGGGGAGGGAUUGGGAACCUGAUCUCCGGGCUCCUGCCCCGAACGUUUCCCCAUCAAUAACGUUGAUACCAUCGAUGCUCCUCCUCCCCCGCCCUCCCGGGGGCCGCUGCCGCCUUUUUGCCGCUUUUUGCUAGGCGCAGGAAAAUGAAACCUCCUAUACAGCUCUCCUGGCCUCGGUGGGGGGCCAGCGGGGCCUGGGCCCGAGACUUAGGAAGCUGGGUCGCCGGUAGGGCGCUUGUGGGGGGAGGCAGGGGGGACGUUCCCCAGGUCUGGGGUAGGGGGCCCGUCCUGCGAGGGUGAGACGGGAAAGAGGGUCUGGGUCCCAAGCAAGGCCUCAUCCCAUGCCUGAGGUCAGACUGGGCCUGAGUAAGUGAAGGGAUGCAGGUAGAAGCAUCAGACUUCGGAUUGGGGUGCCUCCAGGCGCUGUCCGCUUCCCAGGACUGACAACUGAACGAAGUCCCCAAACCCUUUCUCUAGGAAUGCGUCUGGGGCCUGGAGCACAGCCCUUGGGCCCUGACAACGCACCAAGGACACUCCAGGUCUUGGGAAAACUGAGGCGGACAUAUGGGUAGAAAGACAUCAAACCCCCAGGAUGGGAGUCUGCAGAACGGCCGAACGCCUCCCCCGGGUGUGGUUCCCCUCGGUCCUCGAGGUCGCGACCCUGGCGCAGCUGCUGCAUUUCUUCGGGCCACCCCGAUUCUCUAUCGCGAAUCAUCCCUUAAGUACUCGCCCUCUAGAGGAACCCGCAAGUCCCAACUUCUUCCUCCCAAUUCCCACAGCAGCUGUCCCCAUUCAGGGGCUGGGAGGGCGCAACCCCAGGGAGGGCGCUUAGGUCUUUGGAGAAACUGGACGUAGCGGCAAUUAUCGCUGUGGCACCUAACUCGCACUCGCUGCUUUCUUCCGAACCUCUCAAAAAAUAAAAAUCACCCCUACUGUCUUCGUUUUUUAUUGAUUUCAUUAUUUCUUAACAUCGUGGCACGCGGAUCGUCGCCAGCUCCCUGACACUGAAGCGCCCGCAUAAGCGAACCACGGAACUUGGGCCGGAGACAAUGGCCCGUAAUUGAUGUAUUGCCACCAACAAUAAAGACCAAUUCUCCUCUCCCCGCCAUUCCGUCCGUCCCCUUCCUCCCAUCCCCCCUCUCCUCCGCCUCCCCUCUCCUUUCCCGGCCACAGAGGGAAAGAAAACAAACAAGAAAUUAGCUGGGGACGCCGAGCGUAGAGCGAGACGCCUGCCUCUACGCCGUCGAGGACGCAAAAGAACGAAAAAAGUUAUUAAAGUUUGGAUUCCCCAAUUAAUUCGUCUCUGAGCUCCCAUUUUUAAUUAAACAGCGCGAAAC
RNAcentral lists this long non-coding RNA (1824 nucleotides) under Marmota monax (woodchuck). The record is from RNAcentral. Lineage: Eukaryota; Metazoa; Chordata; Mammalia; Rodentia; Sciuridae.